Long non-coding RNA from Nilaparvata lugens (brown planthopper), 488 nucleotides. RefSeq lists it as uncharacterized. The record is from RefSeq and is a predicted model, not a curated record. The transcript is spliced from 3 exons. NCBI's taxonomy places the organism in Eukaryota, Metazoa, Arthropoda, Insecta, Hemiptera, Delphacidae.
AGCCGCUCGGCGACAACUUUGGAAAACGCUUGAGGGAGCUGAUCUUUGGAACGCGCGUCUGCUCGACACCUCGACUGUUCUGGUCCCCCUGGGACACCAACACAACAUCCUGACCAUCUUCCUCCUGUCUCCGAUUCGAUCCUAUUUUCUUAUGGCGAAACUCGUCGCAGUCGAAAAGUUUGAAACGCCAGCUAACUACUCUGCUGCCUCGUCAACAACUUUCAACGCUAACUCGACAAACAAAUCGUUCAUCAACAGGAAGUGACCAGAUCAACAAUCAGACAGAUUGAUAGCUACUCUUCUGUUAUCUCAGGAUGUUGAAUACUGGAGGGAAUUGAUGGAAAGAGUGAUCAAAAACCAGUGAUCCAACUAAUAGGGUCUCAUGAAAAAGUCCACCCACGGCCAGCAAAACUCGAAUUCGGAGAUGCAGUCGGCUACUUCACUGAUGAAGAAUUGACACGCAUCAGAGCUCCGAACACAGAAGCUCA